GCGAAAACUUUACAAUGCUGGCAACAGCGAUAAGGGAACCUCGAGUGCCAGGUUACAAAUCUGGCUGUCGAGAUGCCUAAAAAGCAUUUCAUAGCAAGGGCCGGGCAAGACCGGUGCCAGCCGCCGCGGUAACACCGGCGGCUCGAGUGGUAACCGUUAUUAUUGGGUCUAAAGGGUCUGUAGCCGGCCGGAUAAGUCUCUUGAGAAAUCGGGCAGCUUAACUGUCAGGCUUUCAGGAGAUACUGUCUGGCUCGAGGCCGGGAGAGGUGAGAGGCACUUCAGGGGUAGGGGUGAAAUCUUGUAAUCCUUGAAGGACCACCAGUGGCGAAGGCGUCUCACCAGAACGGACCUGACGGCAAGGGACGAAAGCUAGGGGCACGAACC
RNAcentral lists this ribosomal RNA (384 nucleotides) under uncultured prokaryote. Its description in RNAcentral is "bacterial SSU rRNA". It matches the Rfam family "Archaeal small subunit ribosomal RNA", at positions 341 to 725 of the family's 1478-position model. The record is from RNAcentral.